Long non-coding RNA from Pseudopipra pipra, 350 nucleotides. RefSeq lists it as uncharacterized. The transcript has 3 exons. The record is from RefSeq and is a predicted model, not a curated record. NCBI's taxonomy places the organism in Eukaryota, Metazoa, Chordata, Aves, Passeriformes, Pipridae.
ACAGAUUCUGGAUGUCCUAUCUUGAAUUUCAAGACCCAAGGCCAAAUUGUGAUGAUGUUCCAUGUGCAAUGUGUCCCCAGUAAGAGAAGAAGGAGGCAGCACAGGACCACGAGCACAGAGCUGAGGCUGGGAACCAAAGAGAAGGAACUAAGUGACAUGUCCAAGGACACUUGAAGAAAGACUGUGGUGAGGCAGACUUGGAAAUAAGCCUUACAACUCGCAGACAAGCCCCAAAUAUCAGACUCUUUAACAGGACAAAGAUGCUGCUGGUUGGACAAGCAAGCCAUGACUGCGUGAUCAUGAAGCAUGGGACAGACUGCUUAUAGUCUAACCACAGCAAAGAUUUUACU